RNAcentral lists this long non-coding RNA (1023 nucleotides) under Pan troglodytes (chimpanzee). RNAcentral's name for it is "long non-coding RNA NONPTRT013413". Lineage: Eukaryota; Metazoa; Chordata; Mammalia; Primates; Hominidae. The record is from RNAcentral.
AUCUGUAGUGUGCUACCUCUUUAAUGGGAAAUCUUAGAGGCUAUCAGUAUUGAAUGGUGACCAGAGGAAAAUACUGCUCUACAUAUAGGUCUGGGCUGUCAUACAAACUGAUCUGCUACUGGGGCCUCAUGACCUAGCAGAUCCAAAAGUAUUCAACAUGUUUGUGGCAGAUGCAAAUGCUGUUUAGAACCUUCGAGAGGUCGCUGUAGAAGCACAAUGCAAAACUUCAGGAUUUUGGAGCAAAACUUUGUCAUCUUUUGCACACACAGUGUUCUCUUUUGAUAGCUCCUGGUGUGCUACUGGACCCUAGUAGAGAUAGAAUGUCUGACUCUGAGCCACUAAGUAACCAUUCAACCUCUUCUGCCCUUCAAGACCUGGGAAAUGUCUGAAAAAACAAGUAAUGAAACGUGUGUAUAGCAGCACUCCAUUACAAGUUGUAGUUUUAUAUACGAGAUUGGUCUCAAGCAAGACCUAAAGGUAAAAGUAAGAGGCUCAGAUUUGCAUGGCUCCUCCUCUUGCUGCAUUAACUGCUGUCUCUCAACGCAAGCAUACUGUAACAUAUUGAUGGAGGAGGAAAAUGCUGAGUCUCGUUUACAGAUAAUUCUAUGUAACAUGCUGGCAUCACCUAAAGUGGAGAACUGCGAGAUUACUGCCCCAUCCAAGAAAACCCUUCAGCAGCCCCAUUCUUCAGGAACCGUGAAGGACUAUGGCAAAGAGAUGAUAAAUAGCCAAAGACGUCAAUGGCACCCAUGGACAUAGUAAGCAUAGUAGGAGCUGAAAAACUAGAAGCAAUGACAAUGUCAACUAUUUUGAGCAAAAAGAAGCAGUGUCUUCGGAACAUUUGAUCAUAAAACCAGACAUUAAAGGAUGAGAAAAACAUUUUUCUGAAGCUGAUACUUUCACAUUUCCUACAGAGCAUAUUUGUAUGGAUGGGGGUGGGUAAACACUCAACAAAAGUUUCUUUAAAAAGAAGAAACCAUCCUGGUUUGAUGUAAUCAACAGUUGCCCACUGCUCCCUUCCUG